GGGGAUGUAGCUCAGUGGUAGAGCACGUGCCUCACAUGCCUGAGGCCCUGGGUUCGGUCCCCAGCACCA
RNAcentral lists this transfer RNA (69 nucleotides) under Ictidomys tridecemlineatus (thirteen-lined ground squirrel). RNAcentral's name for it is "Spermophilus tridecemlineatus (thirteen-lined ground squirrel) tRNA". It matches the Rfam family "tRNA". Rfam says of the family: Transfer RNA (tRNA) molecules are approximately 80 nucleotides in length. Lineage: Eukaryota; Metazoa; Chordata; Mammalia; Rodentia; Sciuridae. The record is from Rfam by way of RNAcentral.